UAUUUCCUCGGAAUUGGACCCUAACUUUCACGGCCAUCAUAGCCGCGGCUUCUUGUUCUGCUCGCAACUGGUGAGGCGCCAGCGGCCGCGCCAGUCACCACCUCACCAUUGUCACCAUGAUCAUUACCCAUUGGAGAUAUGAACAGACUUGUAAUCAUUGCUAAAUAACUAGCUACGCACUUUGCAAGUUUUCCGGUAGGGCAACUUGAUUCCCGUCUCAUCCCAUCCCCAAAACACCCUCCAUGGCCCCCGCCACUAUCCAUUCGACGCAGGCACGCGGGUCAUGCCUGAAAUUUCAUUUCUUUUUUAUUCAAAUCCAACCCGCCUUCAAAUGUCAGCCUUGUACUUCCAAAGACAUUCGGUAGUAUGCGACCUAACUGUUGACAUGUUCAUUUCAAGUGCCUCGGUCAUCAUCACCCUGCUACAUGCCGGCCAAUGCCCAUCAGAGCCCGGAAGAACACUGCGCAGAAUGGGAAGCCGUUCGACAUACAUAGGUGUACUGUAGUGGCCAGCCAAUUGUCUUUCAUGGUGUUCUAGACGUUUGCCUAUACAAGUACCUAGACAGCGACCGAGGUCUUGCUUUUUCUUCCCCAACUCCUCUCUCUUCAAACGCCCAGCCCAUAGUUCGCAGCAGAACUCAACAUCUUACCCACCUCCCCCUCCUUCUUCAACCCCAUCCAACCUCAAUGCAACAUGGAGAUAUUCAGAACUUGAUGAGGGGGGCCAUGCUUGGGAUAGUCACCUUCCUGUUAAGUCUAGGCGUAGACUUCGUUAGCCAUGAGGUUUAGUCGAAAUGAGGGGGUAGUUGGAUACAUGUCGAGCGGGAUGUGGGGAGUGGUAGCGGCGAGGAGGUAUACCUCUCAGUACUUAUGUACGUACUACUUGGACACACGAUUUAUGGCAACGAGUUGACAAGGAAACAUCUUUGAUUAGCAUCACCCCCUGCUUCAAAAAGAUGCUUUGAG
Non-coding RNA from Neurospora crassa OR74A, 965 nucleotides. The record is from RefSeq and is a predicted model, not a curated record. NCBI's taxonomy places the organism in Eukaryota, Fungi, Ascomycota, Sordariomycetes, Sordariales, Sordariaceae.